Molecule: ribosomal RNA, 524 nt
Filed under: Agrobacterium sp.
Lineage: Bacteria; Pseudomonadati; Pseudomonadota; Alphaproteobacteria; Hyphomicrobiales; Rhizobiaceae
Description: bacterial SSU rRNA
Rfam family: Bacterial small subunit ribosomal RNA
Source: RNAcentral
AGUGGCAGACGGGUGAGUAACGCGUGGGACCAUACCCUUUUCUACGGAAUAGCUCUGGGAAACUGGAAUUAAUACCGUAUACGCCCUACGGGGGAAAGAUUUAUCGGGGAAGGAUUGGCCCGCGUUGGAUUAGCUAGUUGGUGGGGUAAAGGCCUACCAAGGCGACGAUCCAUAGCUGGUCUGAGAGGAUGAUCAGCCACAUUGGGACUGAGACACGGCCCAAACUCCUACGGGAGGCAGCAGUGGGGAAUAUUGGACAAUGGGCGCAAGCCUGAUCCAGCCAUGCCGCGUGAGUGAUGAAGGCCUUAGGGUUGUAAAGCUCUUUCACCGAUGAAGAUAAUGACGGUAGUCGGAGAAGAAGCCCCGGCUAACUUCGUGCCAGCAGCCGCGGUAAUACGAAGGGGGCUAGCGUUGUUCGGAAUUACUGGGCGUAAAGCGCACGUAGGCGGAUAUUUAAGUCAGGGGUGAAAUCCCAGAGCUCAACUCUGGAACUGCCUUUGAUACUGGGUAUCUUGAGUAUGGAA